Micropterus salmoides (largemouth bass) is the source of this 1959-nucleotide long non-coding RNA. RefSeq lists it as uncharacterized. NCBI's taxonomy places the organism in Eukaryota, Metazoa, Chordata, Actinopteri, Centrarchiformes, Centrarchidae. The record is from RefSeq and is a predicted model, not a curated record. The transcript has 8 exons.
AAACUCACCGCCCCGAACGCUCGCUUCGCUUUUGGUCUGAAAGCACCAUUAGUCUUUGUAGUUGUAAUACAGCGAAUAUUUGGACCGAUUUGGACUAGCGACAAACAACUACAACACCACGGGAGGAAAAAAACAAAACACAACAAACAAUUCUUGAGCGCUGCGGGGGUAUUUCAAUGAGCAUUAGAGGUUGCGUUACAUGGACGUUGAAAAAACAAAAAUAACCCGUUUAAAAUGAUCUAAGACCUAGAACAGAAACUUCAGCGAAUUUAGGACUUUAAGGCCAUAAAUUUUGAUUUUGAAAGACCCCGCCGAAACCCAGGAGGAUGUCUACCUGACAGGUGCUGUUAUCAGAGCAGCUCCUUUAAUCUGGAGGUCUCAGUGUUUGAUUGUCCGAGUGACAGGAAGUUACUGAAUCUCAGAGGAGGAAAAUAUUCUGGCAGUAAAAGUACGGUGUUGGUGUGUCAGGUAAUAAAUGCUUCAGCUUCACAAAACAAAAGUCUUUUCCCAAACGGCUGGAAGAGUGAAGCAGGAAAACAAACAUCUCCCCUUCAGACUGGAAGCUGAGCAGGAAGCUAACAGAACAUUUUUUUGUUCAAUUUAUAGAAAGUAACGAGCAGCUGUAUUUUAUUCCAGCCUACUCCAGGUGUUCAGCUCUGUCUUGAACAUAGACUGAACAUCCAUUAUGGUAAUAUUUGGGUCACAUAGCGACAAUCACAAGGUAGCCCCGCCCUAAAGCCUCCCCUGCUUUCUGGUCUUUUUUCCUCUAAAUGAACAUCACGCUGUGUUGAAGAGACCAUAUACGAUCCAGUGGAGACUCUCCCUGCUGGCUGUUACAGAGAAUGCAGGUUUGAGGCUUCACUUUACAAACCUGGCGUUUCCUUCUUGGUGAAGACACAAAGCUGCUUCCUGGUUUCACAAAUCAGACACAUUAAAUAUCUAAUUUCCGUUGUGGUUUUGAAACGGACCAAUCAAAGAACGAGAUGCAAAUUCAGGUUGUCCUCACACAGAGGAGCAGGUGGAGGUGGGGCUAUGUACUAAGGCGCUGCAGGAGGCCAGAGCCUUACGGCGGGACUUAGGAGGCUUGGACUGGGAAUCCUUGUACCGCCAGGGCGAACAGGUCGCUGAACCUGCAGGAGGAGGAAGGGAUAUCAUCACCUGCUGCACACACAUGUUGCCCGACAUUGCACAAUGUUGACUGAAAAACUGUUAAUUAAUAACUCAUUUACAAAGUUCAAGAGAACCCAGCUUUUUGCCUCAUUCCUUAACGUUAGCAACCGUUAGCUAGCGUAAGCUAACGUACCUUAUCAGCAGUGGCUGAAACCUUUCCAGACAGUCGUCAACACUUAUGAUUUUUCAUCUGGGGCUGCUCCUUGUUACAUGCGCUCUGGUCUGGACUGUAGAGAGUGCUGCUGAAGGAAUUUCAUCAUGUCCAUAAUCACCUGACUUGCGAAAGCAGCUCUGAUAUUUAAUCAAACACAGUAUUGAGUGGCACUACAGCUAUCCAAGGUGUUUCCUGAGUUUGUUUUACAAAGGUUGAACCUAUGCAACCAAUUCUACUGCGAGCUUGAGAGCUACAUACCACAACUGAUUGCCCUGUACAGGCAGAAGGCCAAGAGAGCAGAGGCCCUGCAGAGAUCCUCAGGAUUUAUGACCUUCAGGAACAACACGAGGUACACAUGAGAUGCUAUCCGGCCCUCCGUGACCUCCCAGUGAACCUGCCAGCGGAUGACGGAUGUCUUCAAAACCUGCAAUGUUCAGCGACCUGUUCGCCCUGGCGGAGGAGUACGAGGAUUCCCAGACUAAGCCUCCCAAGUCCAUACGCACCUGAACACACAGUAUAAGAAAAAACUUCAACCUAUCUACAAUGCAUAAUAUAAGCAUAUAGAAGAUAUCUUUUGAGUCGCAUCUUGGUGCUGGAUAACAGGUGCUCUAUUGGAUUGAGAUCUGGUGACUGUG